UCCAAUUGAAACGUGCAUUGGGAUCCCUCCUCAUUAAGCGGGUCGGCCCAUCUCUCCCAUUCCCCAUCUCCCAUCUGAGCAUCUCUCUCACCCCAAACAACACCCACCCGGCGACGGACGCAUUCGAAGUCAGCCGCCACUAUGGUGGCGAUGGCGGGGCAGGAGCGCAAGGCAAUCGAUCUGGAGGAUGGGUGGAAUUUCAAGCAGAAGGGCAAGAUCUACAACCUCAUCAAUAUCCCCGAGCGCAAGCCAGAACUACAGUUUAGUUCUAUAGUUUCCGGCCAUGUUCCUCUCUUUUUGUCGCGCAGGACAAAUUGGGAGCCUUCACCAUGGCCGCCAAUAUCCAUCUACGGGUACAUCUUGCUCCCUUACUAGCUGCUCAAUAUUCUAGCCUAAUGAUGUGUUUAUUAAUCCCCAAUUCAUGAAUUCUUGCUUCCUAUCCUUUCAAUUUGUUCAUGUACCAGAUUCAAGGGGCAAUUACCUCACACAUCUUGAUCUGUCAUCUCCUUUUUCCGAGUCAGGUUUGAUGAAGAUUUGGAUAACUAGAUAGAUUUGUGUGGAAAUUCUGUACACUUCGCUGAUGUUCGCCGACAUGCGAUAGCUACAGAUGCAGCCAAAUUAAUUUACCAUGCAUGUUCCGCAAAUUUUCAUUUAAUGGUUUUAUAUCGUAUAUGGGGCAAUGAUUUCCUUAUAUAUAAAUUCUUACGAUAAGAUUGUGUGCGUUUGUAGAUCAGGCAUCACAAAUAGUUGAAUAAAAGCGUCAGGUAUGAGCUACUACAUUAAUUGAUUAUGCAUUGUGAGAAUAGCUGGAGCGCUUGUGGCCAUACUGCUCCAUGUCUUAUGUAGAAUGAAUAUUGCUAUCAUGAUUGCACUGUAUGCCAAGUGAAUAUUUAGUCCGCCUAGAUUAAUGUUAGGAUGCAGCAUGUGCUUUAUGAUCCCAACUAGAAAUUGGACAAGAACUAUUUUUUUGGUCAGUGAUGGUCUUUUCUCUCUGUUAUGUAAAUACGUGAAAUAUUUAAAAGGUGUUUUUCUUAUUUCAAGUAAUGCGUUAUUUAGCAGUCCCAUUUAUAGAACUAUUUACUUCCCCAUUGCAAAAGUGUAUAUUUGACAGGUAAGAGUAGAGACGGUCUAGCAUCCAGUAGAUGUGAACACGAUUUCAGUUUUGCCAAAUGUCUUAACUUCAGUCAUCACGUUAAUUAACCCUUUUUAUCUCCAUAUAUAUGGCUAUCUCUGUCAGCAUUUUCAACUUAUGAAGCUGACAAGAUAACAUUCUUAUUUAUAAAUGAAAAUAGUGAAGCCUCUCCAUGACUUUUGAGGGGGAAAAAGGUUGGCCUGCAUGUUUCUUAAUUUUGAAGGAUUGCUACAGACGCAAGUGUAUUGGAUAAUUUUGAAGAAUUGCUUCCGACCGCAGGUGUAUUGGUGGCCAUCUCCAGAUCUCACCUGGAGCAGCAUCUGUUUUCUAUCUCGCCGUCAUCUAUGGCUUAAGAAUUCCAGUUUAUGCAUAUUUGUUGCAUUUGUUCUCACGCUGAACAUUCAACUUGUCUAUCUUCUUUCGUGAUUAAACUUUGCAGGCCGUAUAGGACGGGUUAUACAAUCCUAUGUUGUUUUGAAUCAACUCUUGUGUGUAGGAAUGGAACGUAGACCAUGGAAAAUGCGGCAUAACGGCAAAAGAACUAUUCCGUAGGAUACUUACACUUAGCCGCCACUUAGCAGCUAAACCACGAGCGCUUAAAUAUUUUUUGCAUUUUAACACAUAUUUCUCGUACUUAAUUGGUUCUGAAGGUCACAACUACGUACAGCUGGUCAAUGAACUUGGUGGGUAAUAUAGAUCUUCCAAUUAACAAAAUUUGUUUAAUUAAAUGUAAAUUGAAUAUAGUUCUUAUUUUACAUUAUUUAUUAUUACGUGGUUUUCCGUAUUUUUUGGUCUAGGUAGUGAUGACUUCCUAAAUUUUCUCACCAUUUUUUUCCUUCUUUUGGUCUCGCACAUGUAAUCUUAAAGGAUUGGAUUUACACCAAGGCAUAUCCAUCUCACUACAUUAGCCUCCCAA
Long non-coding RNA from Triticum aestivum (bread wheat), 2048 nucleotides. RefSeq lists it as uncharacterized. The transcript has 2 exons. The record is from RefSeq and is a predicted model, not a curated record. NCBI's taxonomy places the organism in Eukaryota, Viridiplantae, Streptophyta, Magnoliopsida, Poales, Poaceae.